Molecule: long non-coding RNA, 302 nt
Organism: Carlito syrichta (Philippine tarsier)
Lineage: Eukaryota; Metazoa; Chordata; Mammalia; Primates; Tarsiidae
Exons: 3
Source: RefSeq, a predicted model, not a curated record
AGAGAUUUUAUUCCCUCAAAGUUGCCCCCAAAGUUAAAGCUACAGCUGCACCUACAGGAGCACCUCCUCAUCCUCAGGAUCUUGAGUUCACCAAACUACCAAAUGGUUUAGUGAUUGCUUCUUUGGAAAACUAUGCUCCUGCAUCAAGAAUUGGUUUAUUUGUUAAAGCAGGCAGUAGAUACUAGGACUCCAACAAUUUAGGAACCUCUCAUUUGCUGCGUCUUGCAUCCAGUUUGACUUCAAAAGGAGCUUCGUCUUUCAAGAUAACCCGUGGAAUUGAAGCAGUUGGUGGCAAAUUAAGG